UCUGUGGUCUGGGCUUCUGUUGGCUGUAGAAGCUGAGCCUGUUUCUCCAGUGUAGCAUCCCCUCAGGAGGCCUUGUGGUGGAGUGAGAGGACUGAUGCUGAAGCUGAAGCUCCAAACUCUGGCCACCUGAAGUGAAGAGCCUACUCAUUGGAAAAGAUCCUGAUGCUGGGAAAGAUUUAAGAAGAGUUUGGGCUUUGGAAUCAAACAGACAAGAGCACAAACCACAGCUCCACAACAUGUGACCUUGGACAAGCACCUUUACCUCUUCUCUACAUGUUGGUUUCCCUCCUUGUAAUAUGGGAUGGAGACUAGUAACUGCCUCCUCUGCUGGUAAAUAAGAUACAAUCCAAAGGCACAGAGCACCUGGCCCAGAGAGAUUGCUUCGUAUCUGCUAUCCAGCAUGGCCAUCUGAUGGGGCCUGGACCUGGCUAAUUGUGGGCCCUGCUCCUCCCUCUGCCUGAGCCCCCAGCAGCUUCUCUGACCCAGCUGGAGGAAGAAGCUCUGAUGGGCAUCUCCUGUCCGUGCACAUCAAGUUAUUUCUAGUUGAUUUGUUAUUGUGGUUGUUGUGGUUGUUAUUUCUACUAAGAACAUUGAGCUAUGAAUAAACUGUGCAUUUUUCUUGAUGAAUGUGGAAAAGAGAUUCUCUAGGGUGUACAUAAUAAUAA
This is a long non-coding RNA of Bos taurus (domestic cattle), 665 nucleotides long. The record is from Ensembl. Lineage: Eukaryota; Metazoa; Chordata; Mammalia; Artiodactyla; Bovidae.